GGGCACUGUAAAGAGGGAGUAGUAUUUGAUAAUCACAAACCCAAUAGCUGCUGCGUUUCCGUCCCCAAAUAUCUGACGCUAAUGGAAAAGGGCUCCGACAGAAAACCGCCCCUUCCUCCCCGUCGUCGUCAAAGAAUGGAUGAGAAGGCCUCCGCCGCCGCCAGAAAACCGCCCCUCCCUCCCCGUCGUCAAAGAGUGGAUGCAAAGGGUUCCGCCGCCGCCAGAAACCCGCCCCUCCCUCUUCGUCGAAAAAGAAAAUCGGGUGAAACACCAGAUCGUUCUUUGGUUGCCGAUCAGCUGCGCCUUAGGGAUAGAUAUGUCAAAAUCACAUCUAAGAUAUGUGUAUCAAGGGUGAGGGAUAUGUACAAUGUGCGAGCAGACUGGCCCGAUGAUUUUAAUGUUGAUUUAGCUCUAUACUUGAUAACCAAGGUUCAAUCUAUUGAGCAUGAUCAUCAUGAUCAGGCUGCCUUAUCCCUCCUAAAGGAUGGUCCUUUACGUAUAUGGUUUCCCUUCUUCCGGGACUUCGCACUAUCGCUCCUUUCCCUCUGCAAGGUCGACGGAAAUUUGUGGGCUGAUCGUUUGACUCAGCAUCUCAUUCAAUAUAUUGGAAUGAAGCUUCAGUCAUCCACCAAGCAACCUGACGCUGAUGCUGAUGCUGACGAUGCUAGCCCCUCAAAGAAACUCAAGGGAUCAUAGAUUUUGAUCAAAUAUGUAGUAGUAAUUUUCUUGUGGCUAUCUAUCUUGACAAUGUUAUCUUCUAUUAGGUUCCUACUCAUCUUCGGUAUUUUGAUUCUCUAUUACUUUGUAUGGUGGGUGCAUUUUCUAUCUAUAUAUGAUCGUCCUUUAAUUCUUGAAGAGCAACUCUAGUUUUAGGAACUUACCUUUUUAGUUGCUCUGUAUCUGAUUUAUAAAGAGAGAAAGUUGAUUUCUUUAAUUGCUCUCUAUGUCUCUCCAUCUGUUUGCUGCCUUCAUUGGCACCGCAGAAAUGGAGGAAACUACACAAUGGCUAUUCAAUAAAUCUACUAGGACAUACUUAGUAGAUUUAACUUAAAUAAAUUCUAGUUUGCCUGUUGUAAAGAGAAGAAUCUACAACAUAGAAGCAGACAUUGCUUCUUGCAGCAAACAAAUGAAGCAAACGAGUCUUCUAGAUACACAUUUUUCCUACUCGUUCAAGAUUUUCAACUUUAUUCUCUCCUGAGGCAAGCUUUGCUGAGCUUGGACCUCUACAUGGUGUCGUAAUUUCGUCAACACUGCAUAUUGUAGUUAGUGAAAAAUCCCUGUUUUUUUUGCUCUAAAAUCUUUAUCGUCAUCGAGUUUUGGAGAAGUCUAUGGAAAUAUUCAAUUGUUACAUAUUGAAAAUAUUUGGAAGGCUCCUGCUUUCGUUCCUAUGGAUGAUUCUGCAUAAUUAUUAAAAUAAAAAGCUCCGCUAGUAUGCAAGAAAUGAAGUAGCAGUGCCUGGUUCAUUUAAAGAUGUACUUACUCAAUCCCGGCCAGCAGGAUCAGUGGUUGGCAGGUAAACACCCUCGCUCUCAAGUUUGAUUUCUCGAUCCUUGGAAGCUGAAGCAGUUAACACAAAAUCUCUGUUGCCUAGAACUCAUUUCGCAUGCGAAACUUCCAAGGAAUCAUUAUCUUUAAAUGACGUACAAGGGUCAUGUGGACAAGAAAGAUGCUGUGAUCUAUGCAGAGAGCAUUGUAGAAUCAUCAAGCAUUAACAUGAAGCAGACAUCCUCCGAAAUCUCUAGAGAGAAUGACCUGCCAAGGGAGAAACCUCCUCUGACUAAAUCUAAGCCUUUUUCCCUUCAGUCUUCGAAUUCUGAGAUUUCCUUCUUAAAUUCAUGGAGUAAUGCCCUGAUCUUCAAGAAGGAUUUGAAAUUAAUUCAGACGUAACAGAUGUAUUGAUGGUUUCCAGUGUCAAUAUGCUUGAGUCACAUAGUCCUGGAAGAAAUAUUGACAGGGCUUCUGGAGGUUCAAGACCAGAUAGCCUUGCAAGUGGCUAUGGAGGAUGAGGAUAAACGGAACCAAUUUCCAGGCCCAUGAUACGGUCAACGGCUGGAAGGUAUACAGCCGCCGAGGAAGUAGGAAGGCAGUUGGGGGAAGCGAGAAAAUCAAGGAAGCAGGCACGGCGAAGCAGCAGAUCGAGGAGUAGAUCGAGUAAAUCAUGGAGUUCCUAUUUUUAUGCAUUCUAGUUAUUUACUUUACAGUAUAAAUAAGUGUAAGCUAGGAAGAUAGAUCAAUUGUUUUGGAAGACUUGGUCGUAGGCCUCUGCAGAGGAUUGUUAUUUCUCUAUAUUCUCUUCAAUAAAAGUGAUCGUUCCCCUCUUUAUCUUUAGUUGCAGCUUGUGGUUUGAUUAGUGACAAUCAGGAGAGCAUAACUCGUGCUCCCUGACUUCCAUCCGCCUUUCACUCCUAACAAUUGGUGCGGUGAACGAUGGUGAACUCUCAAGCGGACACGCGACUGGAUGAAUUGGAGAAGGCAACGGAGGAUUUGCAGCAGGGUAGACUCAUGUUGGACGCGGCAGUGAAGGAGCUGAAUGCCCAGUUCCGCCGCACUGAUGAUCAGGUGACGGAGGUACGAACAGAACUGAGCGCCAUGCUCUAGAAGAUGCGCGCGGGUUUCGCUUCACUGAAACUCAAGGACACUUCCAACCCCGACGACGGAUCCACCUCAGCGGAUCAGGGGUCAAAGACGGCAACCACCGGUGGGGCUUCGGCGUCGCCCAUGCCCACCUUUGAUGGCUCGGACGCCCUCGCAUGGCUUGCACGGGCGGAGCAAUACUUUUUGAUCUCGGGAACCUCUUCCGAGGACCGGGUUGGCAUCGCAAUGCCCUCCCUUGGUACCAGUUGCUGAGACAUCGGGUUCCAGAUCUGACGUGGGCUCGCUUCGCAAGGGAGUUGAUGAAACGUUUUGGCGGCACUGGGGCGUUAAAUGAGUAUGAAGCAUUCGCCGCAGUCCGCCACACUGGCUCUCUGACAGAAUUCGUGGCGGUUUUUUAGGCGCGCCUCGCGCAGGUUCCGGACAUCUCGUGUCCGCAGUACUUGGGAUUCUUCAUGGCAGCACUCUGCCCGGAGGUCCGUCUACAAAUGAAGGCCUCCAAAAUCACUACCUAUGAGGAUGCGGUCGAAUUGGCGCUAGAUAUAGACAUGAUGGCGUCCACCCAACCCCAGCGACCCGCGCCUUCCCAAUCACCCACCCAGGCACACCCGUAUACAGCUCACUCAACCCGUUCUGUCUCAAAGGGGUAACGGCUCCACACGUCGCGCAGCGGGAAUUUGCAGGGACGUGUCUCUAACAUUGGAGAAUGAGGAAUUUGUGGUGUCUUGCUAAGUUUUUUCCCCUCCGGAACAUCGACGUCAUUCUGGGUGUCGCAUGGCUCGCCUCCUUCGGCUAUGCCAUGGCAAAUUGGCAGCGAUCGUCCAUGGAUUUCACAGUAAACGGCCGCCCCGUUUCACUCAAGGGCGACCCGCAUUUCAUGCGCUGGGCUUGCUCCACCCAGGAUCUCCGUUGCCUCGAGGAAGGAGACUGUUGCUGGGUCCUCUACGGAAUGGAGAAAGCGACUGUGGCAGAGCCUUUCGGGAUCAUCUCGGCCCUGUCCUCGGCGGCCCGGUCGCAACUGCUCAAAUUGAUCGAAGAAUUUCCAGCGAUCACAAGGGAGACCACGGGACUGCCCCCCACCGCCGCACUGACCACAGGAUAUCCCUCCUCCCAGGCACCAACCCCGUUUCUGUCCGCCCCUAUCGGUAUAACCACUUGCAGAAAGAUGAAAUGGAGAAGCUCAUCGCCGAGAUGUUGACCUCCGGAGUGAUUCAACCGAGCACUAGCCCUUUUUCUAGCCUGGUCCUCCUCGUCCGCAAGAAAGAUGGUUCAUGGAGGUUUUGCGUAGACUAUAGGGAGCUUAACAAACGGACGGUACCGGACAAAUAUCCUAUUCCAGGAAUUACUCGACGAAUUACAUGGGGCCAGGUGGUUUAGCAAAAUCGAUCUGAAGGCAGGAUACCACCAGAUUCGGGUGGCACCCGACGACGUUCCCAAAACAGCUUUUUGGACCCACUUCGACCAUUACGAGUUCCUUGUUAUGCCAUUCGGCCUCACCAACGCUCCAGCCACAUUCCAAAGUCUGAUGAACGACAUCUUCCGACCGACACUUCAGAAAUUUGUUUAGGUGUUUUUUGACGACAUCCUCGUCUAUAGCGCGACAUGAGCAGAUCAUAUGCACCACCUCCGCCAGGUUUUCGAGGCCCUUAAUAAUCAUACCCUCGUCGUCAACGCAAAGAAGUGUCUUCUAGGUCGGGCUAGCGUCGAAUAUCUCGGUCACAUCGUGUCCUUUGAAGGAGUUAAAAUGGACCCCGCCAAGAUCUCGGCCGUCCUCCGCUGGCCGACUCCAACAUCCUUAAAGAGUGUUCGAGGGUUCCUUGGGUUAACAGGUUACUACCGCCAUUUUAUCCGGGACUACGGCAAGAUUGCGGCCCAGUUGACGGAGCUCCUGAAGAAGCCACUGGCACCCCAACCCAAAGCUGCCUGAAUUUGGCCGACGGCAAUGGCCUCCGCCUUCGACGCUCUCAAAUCAACAUUGACAUCAGCACCGCUCCUCAGGAUGCCGAAUUUCACGAAGGAAUUCGUAAUAGAGUGCGACGCCUCGGGCAGGGGCCUUGGGGCAGUUUUAAUGCAGGACCGUCAGCUGGUGGCCUAUUUCAGCAAUACUUUAUCCUCUCGUUGGUUAGCCAAGUCAGCGUACUAGAAGGAACCCAUGGCCCUCGUCCUCGCAAUCCAUCAUUGGCUCUCUUACUUGUUGGGUCGCCGCUUCGUAGUACACACGGAUCAGCGUAGUCUGCGCCAACUACUAGCCCAUCCCCUAGCUAAUCCGGCGCAACAAAACUGGGCGGCAAAACUCUUAUGCUACGACUUCGCCAUCGUUUACAAGGAGGGCAAGUUAAAUAGGGCGGCCGACGCGCUAUCUCGGCGAGACAAGGAGGCGCUGGAACUCUCGGCCAUUUCAAUUCCGUCAUGGCCAGAGUGGUCGUCGGUCUAGGAGACUCUACCGUCCGACCCGGCCCUCGCUAAGAUCAAGACCGCUUUGGAAGCCGGCCAGCCGACUUUCCCACAAUACGAGUUGAUUCAUGGAACUUUGUUCUACAAUGGGAGGAUAGUCGUUCCGCUCCUCCCUAGAUUCCAAGGUUGCUUGCCGAGUUCCAUAUCACACCUACAGGGGGCCAUUCGGAGGCUUACCGUACGUAUCGCCGGAUUGCCUCAAACGUUUACUGGCCCAGAAUGAUGAAACAAGUCACCAAUUUCGUCGCGGCAUGCGCGACGUGUCAGAGGCAUAAGACCGAGAUAGUCGUUUCGCCCCGUUCUCCCUGGAUUCCAAGGUUGUUUGCCGAGUUCCAUAUCACACCUACAGGGGGCCAUUCGGGGGCUUACCGUACGUAUCGCCGGAUUGCCUCAAACGUUUACUGGCCCGGAAUGAUGAAACAAGUCACCAAUUUCGUCGCGGCAUGCUCGACGUGUCAGAGGCAUAAGACCGAGACCAAGUCUCCAGCCGGUCUCCUGCAGCCCUUACCGAUUCCGGAUCAGAUUUGGGAGGAUAUCAGCAUGGAUUUUGUUUCUGGGCUGCCGAGAGCGGGGGGUCUCGACUGCAUUUUUGUCGUCGUCGAUCGCCUUUCAAAAUACGCUCACUUCAUCGGCCUUAGACACCCCUUCACGGCCCGGCAGGUAGCGGAAUUGUUCACAGGUGAGGUGGUUCGCCUUCAUGGAAUUCAUAGGUCGAUCGUAUCGGAUCGCGACCCUGUCUUCCACAGUUCUUUUUGGAAGGAGCUGUUUCGUGCCACAGGUACCACACUUAAGAUGAGUUCCGCUUACCACCCCGAAACCGACGGCCAGACGGAGGUUUUAAACCAGUGCUUGCAGACAUAUUUGCGUUGUUUUUCAUCUGACCGGCCGAAGCAGUGGAACAAAUGGCUAGCAUGGGCGGAAUACUGUUACAAACAAGCGCUCACUCAGCUUCAGGCAUGACCCCGUUCGAGGCAGUGUACGGUCGCCCCCGCCCACUUGCACGCUUUUCUUCUAGGGGAGGUUCGGGCACAGUCUGUUCUGGACACUCUUCGCUCUCGCGAUGAGGUGUUGGAGCUACUGCACCAUCACUUAAGGCGUGCCCAGGAACGUAUGAGAGCUUCCGCAAACAAGCAGCGCCGGGACGUCGAAUUCAGUGUGGGUGAUAUGGUCUAUUUAAGGUUCCGCCCCCACCGUCAGUCCUCACUCUUCACUGCCCGCAACAGGAAGUUGGCCCCUCGAUUUUUUGGCCCCUUUAGAGUCGAAGCUCGCAUUGGAACGACGGCUUAUCGCCUGCAGCUUCCCGACUCGGCCCGCAUCCACCCGGUGUUCCACGUCUCACUCCUCAAACGUGCCAUUGGAGAGGCACCGGUGGAGGCCACGCUUCCUGACGGCCUCAUCAAUGCUGACCCUCUUUUCCUUCUCGACAAGGUGCUGGCGAGGCGAACUGAGCUGAGGGAGGGCGAACCCGUCGAGCAUGUCCUCAUUAGAUGUGUUCGAUUAGAGGACGAUGACGCCACUUGGAUGGAUGAGGCAGAUGUAAGAGGCCAGUUUCCAUUUUUCAGCCUUGCGGACAAGGCUGUUUCGUCGACCGGGGCAAUUGAUACGGUCAACGGCUGGAAGGUAUACAGCCGCCGAGGAAGUAGGAAUGCAGUUGGGGGAAGCGAGAAAAUCAAGGAAACAGGCACGGUGAAGCAGUAGAUCGAGGAGUAGAUCGAGUAAAUCAUGGAGUUCCUAUUUUUAUGCAUUCCAGUUAUUUACUUUACAGUAUAAAUAAGUGUAAGCUAGGGAGUUCAGAAUAUCGUGGAUAGAUCAAUUGUUUUGGACGACUUGGUCGUAGGCCUCUGCGGAGGAUUGUUAUUUCUCUAUAUUCUCUUCAAUAAAAGUGAUCGUUCCCCUCUUUAUCUGUAGUUGCAGCUUGUGGUUUGAUUAGUGACAAUCAGGAGAGCACAACUCGUGCUCCCUGACUUUCAUCCACCUUUCACUCCUAACAGCCCACUUAUGUCAGGGCGAGGAGAUAUGGGUGCAGAUAUUGGAUAUGCGAAUAAUGUUGUUGGUUUUUGACCUAGUCAUGUAGGUAAUUGUGGUGUUCUAAGGAAUCCACGGCCUCAAACACCCAUGCAUGGUGGGGGCAUCCUCUCGGGGCCAAUGCAGUCCCUUGGUCCUCAGGGAGUAUUGCAAAGAAAUAACUCUGAAUUGGAUUGAUGGCAGCGGGGAACUGCUUUCCAGAAAGGUCUGAUGCCUUCUCCUCAGACACCAACUGUAAUUAUGCGCUUAGCUGAGAAGAAGUAAGUAGGUAAGGUUACUAAUGAUGAAGAAGAGGAACAGAUACAGUUGAAGGGCAUAUUGAACAAACUCACAUCUCAAAAAUUUGAGAAACUGUUCCUGCAAGUUCAGCAAGUCAAUGUCGAUAGUCAUCUUGCAGACUUUGGAUAAAGCUCUGAUGGAGCAUACCUUCUGUGAGAUGUAUGCCGACUCCUUGUUUCACCUUGCUGCGGUCUUGCCAGAAUUGACACUUUCGAGAAAUUACGCUUGAACAAAUGGCAGAAAGAACUUUAGAGAGGAGAAGGAGAAGAACAAGAGGCAAAUGAAGCUGAUGAAGGGGAUAGGAAACAGACAGAAGAAGAGACUGCGUGUUGGGUAAUAUUAGACUAAUUGGAGAAUUAUGCAAGAAGAUGUUGACUGAAAGAAUAAUGCUCGAGUGCAUUGGUAAAUUGAUGGGUCAGUAUCAGAAUACUGGUGAAGAAAACAUAGAAGCUCUGUGAAAAUUAAUGAGCACAAUGAUGUAAUGAUAGAUCAUCCCAAAGCGAAGGACCGCACGAUGCUUAUUUGAUAUCAUUACCCAACUAUCCAAUAACAUGAAGCUGUAAGAUUCAUGCUGACAGAUUCUAUUGAUCUGAGAAAGGAUAAGUGGUAGCAGCGGAGGAAAGUUGAAGGUCUGAAAAAGAUUGAGGAGGUACACAGGGACGCUGCGCAAGAACGGCUAGCUCAAACUAGCAGACUUGGUCGUUUCAAUCAGACAGGGUCUGUCUAUGUAUUUUGCUCCUAAAACUCCUAGUAUGUUUUCUCCUCCAGGUCAAACUAGCAGACUUGGUCGUUUCAUUGUACAGAUGUAUGUAUUAUUGCUUGGCAUCCCUGAGCACUUUGAUAUGGCAUUUAUGGAAUUGGAGCAUUGCCUUAUGACCUAUCUAGUCCUGCACUGUCUCUUUAACAUAUAGAGUGGUUGUAUUGUGUUAAAAGUAUGCAUGGUGGUUUACAGUGGAUUCCUUGAUCACCCUAAAAAAUAUUAGAUCCUAGUCAGUUUGAACUUUGAACACUGUAAAGCUAAUAUGGGUAAUACACUACUGCCUUAAUCUCAAACUACUUGAAAUUUUGAUAUUGAACUCAUAACAUGACCAAAAGAGAAAUGAUAGAUAUCAGUGGCCAUGGUGUGUUCAGGAACAUUAACUAUUGAAAAUAUUUGGUUGGAUGUAGAGCAUAUGCAGUUGGCGAGAUUUCGUGAUUAGAUGAUUAUGUUUUUAAUUUUUUUUUGCAUUAAAUUUCACCCUUAUUCUGUGUGAUUCUGCAUAUGCAUUUGGUGAGAUUAUACCUGGUCGCGAACAAUAAUAGAGACAGUGAGGAGGUCUCAGCUUCUAAUGUUUUCCUGCAGAAGGUAUUUAUCACCUAAUUCUCUCAUGUGGAAUGUUCAUCAGAUGUGUCGGUAAUCGGUAUACCAUGCAUUUAACUCGUCUAAACAACACUACACAAGUAGUAAUAUAUUUUGUAUGUAUUUGUUUUGGUAGUAUGUUGAGUUCUUGCAUUCUGGUAAAAUAUUAAUAUGUCAAAUGGCAGUCGAUUAAUAUGUGCUGCAUCGUUUGUAACUGAUGGUAUUUUUUACUUUUGGUUACUCACAGACGGUAUUCUGUUUACAGGACUCCGGACAAUGUUAUCUCCACUCCGCCCACCAAUGGAACGAUUCUUGAAAGAAUUAUGCAUAAAAGCAACAUGGAUAUUGCAAGGUUGAGGAGCGUUCUAUUCCGAUUGAAGAACUACUUCAGGCAGACGAAGUUCUCUGCACUGGAACUGCAGUUUGUGUUCCUCCUGUAGAAGUAUUACAUAUACUAGGGUAACAGGUAAUUUCUAACUCCUAAGGCUGCAGUGCUGUAAGUAUUAAUUGCUUAGCUGCAAUUGAUAAUUCAAGUUGAAGCAUGAAAUCAAGCUGCAUUGGCUAAGAACACUCAGGAGCCGUCAGAUGCGAGGCGGAGCAGACUUUUAAUCCUGGCCGUAGGAUUUGAUUUUUUUGGUUAAAUUCGUUAGGCGCUAGUUUAAAUAGAAGAGAAAGAGGGAAAUUGUUUUUCAUUCCCUGCAAAUUCGAUUCUGUACAAUUCCACUCAAGAAAUAAAAGUUU
RNA transcript from Salvia splendens (bonfire salvia), 9430 nucleotides. RefSeq lists it as uncharacterized. NCBI's taxonomy places the organism in Eukaryota, Viridiplantae, Streptophyta, Magnoliopsida, Lamiales, Lamiaceae. The transcript is spliced from 6 exons. The record is from RefSeq and is a predicted model, not a curated record.